UGGUGAAUAUUGCACAAUGGGCGCAAGCCUGAUGCAGCCAUGCCGCGUGUGUGAAGAAGGCCUUCGGGUUGUAAAGCACUUUCAGCGGGGAGGAAGGCGUUAAGGUUAAUAACCUUGGCGAUUGACGUUACCCGCAGAAGAAGCACCGGCUAACUCCGUGCCAGCAGCCGCGGUAAUACGGAGGGUGCAAGCGUUAAUCGUAAUUACUGGGCGUAAAGCGCACGCAGGCGGUCUGUCAAGUCGGAUGUGAACUCCCCGGGCUCAACCUGGGAACUGCAUUCGAAACUGGCAGGCUAGAGUCUUGUAGAGGGGGGUAGAAUUCCAGGUGGAGCGGUGAAAUGCGUAGGGAUCUGGAGGAAUACCGGUGGCGAAGGCGGCCCCCUGGACAAAGACUGACGCACAGGUGCGAAAGCGUGGGGAGCAAGCAGG
RNAcentral lists this ribosomal RNA (429 nucleotides) under Chloroflexota bacterium. RNAcentral's name for it is "Chloroflexi bacterium partial 16S ribosomal RNA". It matches the Rfam family "Bacterial small subunit ribosomal RNA", at positions 355 to 776 of the family's 1533-position model. The record is from RNAcentral. Lineage: Bacteria; Bacillati; Chloroflexota.